Non-coding RNA from Ciona savignyi (Pacific transparent sea squirt), 364 nucleotides. The record is from Rfam. Lineage: Eukaryota; Metazoa; Chordata; Ascidiacea; Phlebobranchia; Cionidae.
UACCUGGUUGAUCCUGCCAGUAGUCAUAUGCUUGUCUCAAAGAUUAAGCCAUGCAAGUCUAAGUACGAGCUCUCGUACAGUGAAACUGCGAAUGGCUCAUUAAAUCAGUUAUGGUUCAUUUGAUCGUACAGUUUACUUGGAUAACUGUGGUAAUUCUAGAGCUAAUACAUGCGAGAAGCGCCGACCUCGCGGGAGGCGUGCAUUUAUCAGACCAAAAACCGGCCGCGUCUUCGGGCGCGUUCGCCUUGGUGACUCUGGAUAACUUUGCGGAUCGCACGGUCUAGCACCGGCGACGGAUCAUUCAAGUGUCUGCCCUAUCAACUUUCGUCGGUACGGUAUUUGCCUACCGAGGUUCUUACGGGUG